This 3073-nucleotide small RNA is filed under the name Pongo abelii (Sumatran orangutan). RNAcentral describes it as "retained intron". Lineage: Eukaryota; Metazoa; Chordata; Mammalia; Primates; Hominidae. The record is from RNAcentral.
AAAAAAAAAGAAGUUGCAAUGACAAACUCUCAGUGGGGAGAAAGGGCAGAUCUUCCUAGGAAAAGAGAGUUGGCAUUCUCAUCCUGAUGUUUGCCCCCUGGACUAAUGAAAAACCUCAUUCAUGACCACAGUCUGUAUUUGGGAAGCUCUGUUCUACCUGGUGCUUGGGUUCUUAACACUCACAGACUUCCUGGGUAGGAAGUGGCGCUUUGAAUGGAGACAUGAGAGCUGCAUGUGCAGGUCAGCUCUUUCCUUUGCCGCAGUCUCUUUCUCUGCUAUCUUGCUAUGAUUUAGUCCUUAACUUUUUCCUUUUGUCUUUCCCCAUAGGCAAGAAGCGAAACCCUGGCCUUAAAAUUCCAAAAGAAGCAUUUGAACAACCUCAGACCAGUUCCACACCACCUCGAGAUUUAGACUCCAAGGCUUGCAUUUCUAUUGGAAAUCAGAACUUUGAGGUGAAGGCAGAUGACCUGGAGCCUAUAAUGGAACUGGGACGAGGUGCGUACGGGGUGGUGGAGAAGAUGCGGCACGUGCCCAGCGGGCAGAUCAUGGCAGUGAAGCGGAUCCGAGCUACAGUAAAUAGCCAGGAACAGAAACGGCUACUGAUGGAUUUGGAUAUUUCCAUGAGGACGGUGGACUGUCCAUUCACUGUCACCUUUUAUGGCGCACUGUUUCGGGAGGUAGGUGACCCUUCAAUUCAAAGUCCAAGAAGAACAAUAACUUAAAAAGAAGUUUCUUUGAUCACAUAAAUGCCAUCACAAUCAUGGAGCUCUUUCUUGUUUGACACAUCUUGUAUACGGGGGUUUACAUGUGUGCAAUGAUGACAUGCCCUGGAGCAAGGUUGGAUUGAAAUUAUGGUAUUUUCAAAUGUGGUUAGCCUUUUUAAGAUGUGGAAUUUCUCUUCUCCUUUUUUUUUGUUUUGUUUAUCUUGGCAGAACUUUCUAUAUCGCCUAUAGACUGAUUUGCUUAGAUCUCUUAUAAUUUGAAAUAUUCUGGUCUUUUGACUGCUUUAGGAGCUUCAUCUAGCCUACUUGUGUACCAUAUAGACUUACUUUGAUCUCUUUUCUCUACCUCUGUUUUCCACUUUAGCAUUAUAUGGAUUAUGAGGCUUCACCUCAUUAAAACCAGCUUUUUGACUGACUAUUGCUGGUGUUUAGUGUGAGAGAUCCGACAUGGAGGAGGCAUCUAGACCUAACUCCUAGACAAUGGUAUCAGUAAAGGCCUGGAUUUCUGGGCCUUUUGUUGUUGUAUUGCUUAUGUCUGUUAGUAAUUAGAUUCCAUUUUUCAUUAAGGGGUAGGAGAGCACAUGCAGAUUCUGCUCGGCUACCUACUGGUUUGCUCUUUGUAGAUAACCUUGCUUGUUUGUAAAUUCCUUUAUGAUCUUGACAGAAAACAAUGUAUUUCCCCCCAAAAUUCAAGAAAGAAAUAGUUAAUUCUUCAGGACAGGGCUUACUGUUUUUUUUUUUUUAUUUUUCUUUCUCCCUUUUUCAUCCUUUUAAACAAUUCCUGAAACAAUUGGUCUCCAGGGUGAUGUGUGGAUCUGCAUGGAGCUCAUGGAUACAUCACUAGAUAAAUUCUACAAACAAGUUAUUGAUAAAGGCCAGACAAUUCCAGAGGACAUCUUAGGGAAAAUAGCAGUUUCUGUGAGUACAUUUUGAUCCCUACUGCAAGGAUAAUGUGAGAAAUAAAGUCCCUAUGUGUCUUUGGACCUCAGUAUGAAGAAAUACUACCUGGGCCACAGCUACUAUUCGUACAUGUCUGUUGACGUUUAUCGGUGGAUGGAUAAAUACAUGCUUUCCUUUCUGAGCACUGUGUAGAAGAUUCUAGCACUGCUUUCGUUUGGCAGACUCUAGGUUAAAUGACUCUAAGUGCUGCAUUCAUCAGCUAUGACCACAUUCCUGGUGUCUGUAUUCUGACAUUAGUUUAUUUUGAUUUUCAUUUAUGGAUUUUUAAAAUGUUCUCUUAAGACUAGUAGGCAUAGAAGAAAGCAGAAGGAAAAUAAAUAGAAAGAAGGUCUUCUACCUUCAUGGCUAUUCAGGCUCAGGAGGGUGGAGAGAAAAAGAAGGAGGGCAAAUGAACAAGAUAGAUGAGGGAGACAUCCUCUCUGAUAUAAGAUACAGUCCUCUCUGGUGGAUGGAGUCCAAUUUGUGUAACUUCCUAUGUAUUUUCCUAGAUAGGACCACCACUAUUUGAGAAAAUAUCUCACUGGUAACCUAAAGCCAAGGAUAAUAAACCUUGAUAUACUUAACAUUCAAUUUCUUUCCAGCAAUAUGAUAAAUAAAUCUAUCGUGUGUUUCUCUUGCAGAUUGUAAAAGCAUUAGAACAUUUACACAGUAAGCUGUCUGUCAUUCACAGAGGUAAGCAUCCAUGAGCUGCCUUGGCUGUUCCUUUGAUAAAGUUCAUUUCUUUCACCUGGAGUCCCUCCCUACCCCCAAUCCCCCAUGGAUGGAAGUAGAAUUGACUCAGGCAAGAGAACUGAGGGGCUUUCCUUUGAGACUGGAUAGCAAACCAUAUAAGUAGUAUUCCUUAUCGUGGCUGAGGACAUAAGAAGACGACGUGAUCUUUGUCUUACAUCCAAAUUGAAUAUAAACACUUGUUAGCAAGCAGAGCUGUGAGAUUAUAUCACUGAGAAUUUUAGAGAAUACGAUAAAAAUCGAUCUUGUAUUGGCCAUCACAUGAGUGCUUGUUGGAAAAGAAUCAUGGGUCUCAAGAUCAAAUGAAUGGAAUUUGCAUUUUAACAGGAUUUCCAGGUGAUUCUUGUGCACAUGAAAGUGUGAAAAUCUCUGGUAUAAAGUAGAGCCCUUUCAGACAACAGGAGGCAGGAUAUAAUGAUUUAUCUCUUCCUCUUUCCUUUUCUUCCUUCUUAUUGGCCUGUUAUCUCUUCAACCAGCCAUUCAUCCAUCCAUCCAUUCAUUCAUUUUCUAUCCACCCAUUCAUCCAUUUAUUCAUCUUUUAAAAUCACUUUUAAAAUGUAAUAGAUCCCCUGAGAGGUAUCUGAGAAGAAAAUAUAUUCUGAUUAAAUUAUGCAUCAGGAUUCUUAUAGGGAGGUAAGAUAAAUAUACAAAAAAAAAAAAAA